AACUAAUUCUAGCCCAAACUUCAAUAAACCUAACCAUAUCUCCCCCUAAAACAAAACAUUUACCUCAAUAAAAGUAUAGGAGAUAGAAAUUAUUAAUAUGGAGCAAUAGAGAUAGUACCGUAAGGGAAAGAUGAAAGAACAGUUAAUAGUAAAACAAAGCAAAGACCUACCCUUCUACCUUUUGCAUAAUGAAUUAACUAGAACUCAACUUAGCAAAAAGAAUUUCAGCUAAGUACCCCGAAACCAAACGAGCUACUCAUGAGCAGUUAACAGAACUAACCCGUCUAUGUAGCAAAAUAGUGGGAAGACUUACGAGUAGAGGUGAAAGACCUAACGAGCUUGGUGAUAGCUGGUUGUCCAGACUUGAAUUUCAGUUCAACUUUAAAUUUAUCUAAAGCACUAACCUUUAAGCCUAAUGUAAAUUUAACUGUUAAUCUAAAGAGGUACAGCUCUUUAGAGAAAGGAAAUAACCUUAACUAGAGAGUAAAUUAUAAAACUACCAUAGUUGGCUUAAAAGCAGCCAUCAAUUAAAAAAGCGUUCAAGCUUAACCCAACAUAUAUAAUCUAAUCCUAACAUUCAAAUACUGAACUCCUAGAUUAUUAACUGGACUAAUCUAUAAACGUAUAGAAGCAAUAAUGUUAAUAUGAGUAACAAGAAAAAUAUUUUCUCCCAGCAUAAGCUUAUAUCAGACCGAAUAAUUCGCUGAUAGUUAACAAGUAAAUAACAACACUCAAAAUAUUAAGCCCUUAUUAUAAACUUCUGUUARCCCAACACCGGAAUGCACUAAGGGNAAGAUUAAAAAAAGUAAAAGGAACUCGGCAAACAUUAACCCCGCCUGUUUACCAAAAACAUCACCUCUAGCAUCACAAGUAUUAGAGGCACUGCCUGCCCAGUGACACAUGUUAAACGGCCGCGGUAUCCUGACCGUGCAAAGGUAGCAUAAUCAUUUGUUCCUUAAAUAGGGACUUGUAUGAAUGGCUUAACGAGGGUUUAACUGUCUCUUACUUCUAAUCAGUGAAAUUGACCUUUCCGUGAAGAGGCGGAAAUAACUAAAUAAGACGAGAAGACCCUAUGGAGCUUAAAUUUAUUAGUCUAAACAAUCUAACACCACAUCCUCCGGGACACAAAACACAACUUCUAGACUAUACAUUUUGGUUGGGGUGACCUCGGAGUAAAAAACAACCUCCGAAUGAUCUUAAUCCAGACAUAACCUGUCUAAAUUUAUAUUCAUUAAUUGACCCAAAUUUAUUGAUCAACGGAACAAGUUACCCUAGGGAUAACAGCGCAAUUCCACUCAAGAGUCCAUAUCGACAGUGGAGUUUACGACCUCGAUGUUGGAUCAGGACAUCCAAAUGGUGUAACCGCUAUUAAUGGUUCGUUUGUUCAACGAUUAAAGUCCUACGUGAUCUGAGUUCAGACCGGAGAAAUCCAGGUCGGUUUCUAUCUAUUUAAACAUUUCUCCCAGUACAAAGGACAAGAGAAAUAAGGCCCAUUGAACCUCUAUGCCUUAGAACAAUAAAUGAAAUAAUCUCAAUUUAGUAAAACAUACCAAUAUAAUCAACCCAAAACAAGGGUUU
Molecule: ribosomal RNA, 1578 nt
Filed under: Glaucomys volans (southern flying squirrel)
Lineage: Eukaryota; Metazoa; Chordata; Mammalia; Rodentia; Sciuridae
Description: 16S ribosomal RNA
Rfam family: Bacterial large subunit ribosomal RNA
Source: RNAcentral